Molecule: ribosomal RNA, 250 nt
Filed under: uncultured bacterium
Lineage: Bacteria
Description: partial 16S ribosomal RNA
Rfam family: Bacterial small subunit ribosomal RNA
Source: RNAcentral
UACGUAGGGUGCAAGCGUUGUCCGGAAUUUAUUGGGCGUAAAGAGCUCGUAGGCGGUUUGUCGCGUCUGCUGUGAAAAGACCGGGGCUCAACUCCGGUUCUGCAGUGGGUACGGGCAGACUAGAGUGCAGUAGGGGAGACUGGAAUUCCUGGUGUAGCGGUGAAAAUGCGCAGAUAUCAGGAGGAACACCGAUGGCGAAGGCAGGUCUCUGGGCUGUAACUGACGCUGAGGAGCGAAAGCAUGGGGGAGC